This 687-nucleotide ribosomal RNA is filed under the name Pseudomonas aeruginosa. RNAcentral's name for it is "bacterial SSU rRNA". It matches the Rfam family "Bacterial small subunit ribosomal RNA", at positions 71 to 754 of the family's 1533-position model. The record is from RNAcentral. Lineage: Bacteria; Pseudomonadati; Pseudomonadota; Gammaproteobacteria; Pseudomonadales; Pseudomonadaceae.
GAAGGGAGCUUGCUCCUGGAUUCAGCGGCGGACGGGUGAGUAAUGCCUAGGAAUCUGCCUGGUAGUGGGGGAUAACGUCCGGAAACGGGCGCUAAUACCGCAUACGUCCUGAGGGAGAAAGUGGGGGAUCUUCGGACCUCACGCUAUCGGAUGAGCCUAGGUCGGAUUAGCUAGUUGGUGGGGUAAAGGCUCACCAAGGCGACGAUCCGUAACUGGUCUGAGAGGAUGAUCAGUCACACUGGAACUGAGACACGGUCCAGACUCCUACGGGAGGCAGCAGUGGGGAAUAUUGGACAAUGGGCGAAAGCCUGAUCCAGCCAUGCCGCGUGUGUGAAGAAGGUCUUCGGAUUGUAAAGCACUUUAAGUUGGGAGGAAGGGCAGUAAGUUAAUACCUUGCUGUUUUGACGUUACCAACAGAAUAAGCACCGGCUAACUUCGUGCCAGCAGCCGCGGUAAUACGAAGGGUGCAAGCGUUAAUCGGAAUUACUGGGCGUAAAGCGCGCGUAGGUGGUUCAGCAAGUUGGAUGUGAAAUCCCCGGGCUCAACCUGGGAACUGCAUCCAAAACUACUGAGCUAGAGUACGGUAGAGGGUGGUGGAAUUUCCUGUGUAGCGGUGAAAUGCGUAGAUAUAGGAAGGAACACCAGUGGCGAAGGCGACCACCUGGACUGAUACUGACACUGAGGUGC